GCUUAAUUAGUAUAAAAAGUAUUAUAGACUUCCAAUCUGUAGGUCCAAAAAUUUCGGAUUAAGCA
Molecule: transfer RNA, 65 nt
Filed under: Amphibalanus improvisus
Lineage: Eukaryota; Metazoa; Arthropoda; Thecostraca; Balanomorpha; Balanidae
Description: tRNA-Gly
Source: RNAcentral